AUUGAACGCUGGCGGCAUGCCUUACACAUGCAAGUCGAACGGCAGCACGGGAGCAAUCCUGGUGGCGAGUGGCGAACGGGUGAGUAAUAUAUCGGAACGUGCCCAGUCGUGGGGAUAACGUAGCGAAAGCUACGCUAAUACCGCAUACGAUCUAUGGAUGAAAGCGGGGGAUCGCAAGACCUCGCGCGAUUGGAGCGGCCGAUAUCAGAUUAGGUAGUUGGUGAGGUAAAGGCUCACCAAGCCGACGAUCUGUAGCUGGUCUGAGAGGACGACCAGCCACACUGGGACUGAGACACGGCCCAGACUCCUACGGGAGGCAGCAGUGGGGAAUUUUGGACAAUGGGCGCAAGCCUGAUCCAGCAAUGCCGCGUGCAGGAUGAAGGCCUCGGUUGUAACUAGCUUUUGUACGGUAACGAAACGGUAGAGGCUCUAAUACAG
This 438-nucleotide ribosomal RNA is filed under the name uncultured bacterium. RNAcentral's name for it is "bacterial SSU rRNA". It matches the Rfam family "Bacterial small subunit ribosomal RNA", at positions 30 to 469 of the family's 1533-position model. The record is from RNAcentral.